GACGAACGCUGGCGGCGUGCUUAACACAUGCAAGUCGAACGGUAAGGCCCCAGCUUUCUGGGGUACACGAGUGGCGAACGGGUGAGUAACACGUGGGUGACCUGCCCCUCACUUCGGGAUAAGCCUGGGAAACUGGGGCUAAUACCGGAUACGACCUCACCGUGCGCGUGGGGUGGAAAGUUUUUCGGUGUGGGAUGGCCCCGCGGGUUAUCAGCUCGUUGGUGGGGUAAUGGCCUACGAAGGCGGCGACGGGUAGCCGGCCUGGGAGGGUGGACGGCCACAUUGGGCCUGAGACACGGCCCAGACUCCUACGGGAGGCAGCAGUGGGGAAUAUUGCACAAUGGGCGGGAGCCUGAUGCAGCGACGCCGCGUGGGGGAUGACGGCCUUCGGGUUGUAAACUCCUUUCACCAUCGACGAAGGUUUUCUGACGGUAGAUGGAGAAGAAGCACCGGCUAACUACGUG
RNAcentral lists this ribosomal RNA (464 nucleotides) under uncultured bacterium. RNAcentral describes it as "partial 16S ribosomal RNA". It matches the Rfam family "Bacterial small subunit ribosomal RNA", at positions 28 to 507 of the family's 1533-position model. The record is from RNAcentral.